GAUGAACGCUAGCUACAGGCUUAACACAUGCAAGUCGAGGGGAAACGACAUCGAAAGCUUGCUUUUGAUGGGCGUCGACCGGCGCACGGGUGAGUAACGCGUAUCCAACCUGCCCAUCACUUGGGAAUAACCUUGCGAAAGUAAGACUAAUACCCAAUGAUAUCCCACGAAGGCAUCGGAAUGGGAUUAAAGAUUUAUCGGUGAUGGAUGGGGAUGCGUCUGAUUAGCUUGUUGGCGGGGUAACGGCCCACCAAGGCAACGAUCAGUAGGGGUUCUGAGAGGAAGGUCCCCCACAUUGGAACUGAGACACGGUCCAAACUCCUACGGGAGGCAGCAGUGAGGAAUAUUGGGCAAGGGGCGAGAGCCUGAACCAGCCAAGUAGCGUGCAGGAAGACGGCCCUAUGGGUUGUAAACUGCUUUUAUAAGGGAAUAAAGUGGGUCACGUGUGACUUUUUGCAUGUACCUUAUGAAUAAGGACCGGCUAAUUCCGUG
This 492-nucleotide ribosomal RNA is filed under the name uncultured bacterium. RNAcentral's name for it is "partial 16S ribosomal RNA". It matches the Rfam family "Bacterial small subunit ribosomal RNA", at positions 28 to 507 of the family's 1533-position model. The record is from RNAcentral.